GAUGAACGCUGGCGGCGUGCCUAAUACAUGCAAGUCGAGCGAACGGACGAGAAGCUUGCUUCUCUGAUGUUAGCGGCGGACGGGUGAGUAACACGUGGAUAACCUACCUAUAAGACUGGGAUAACUUCGGGAAACCGGAGCUAAUACCGGAUAAUAUUUUGAACCGCAUGGUUCAAAAGUAAAAGACGGUCUUGCUGUCACUUAUAGAUGGAUCCGCGCUGCAUUAGCUAGUUGGUAAGGUAACGGCUUACCAAGGCAACGAUGCAUAGCCGGCCUGAGAGGGUGAUCGGCCACACUGGAACUGAGACACGGUCCAGACUCCUACGGGAGGCAGCAGUAGGGAAUCUUCCGCAAUGGGCGAAAGCCUGACGGAGCAACGCCGCGUGAGUGAUGAAGGCCUUCGGAUCGUAAAACUCUGUUAUUAGGGAAGAACAUAUGUGUAAGUAACUGUGCACAUCUUGACGGUACCUAAUCAGAAAGCCACGGCUAACUACGUG
RNAcentral lists this ribosomal RNA (497 nucleotides) under uncultured bacterium. RNAcentral's name for it is "partial 16S ribosomal RNA". It matches the Rfam family "Bacterial small subunit ribosomal RNA", at positions 28 to 507 of the family's 1533-position model. The record is from RNAcentral.